This 300-nucleotide unclassified non-coding RNA is filed under the name uncultured Pseudopestalotiopsis. RNAcentral describes it as "sequence contains ITS1". The stretch from base 1 to 105 matches the Rfam family "5.8S ribosomal RNA", at positions 50 to 154 of the family's 154-position model. The record is from RNAcentral. Lineage: Eukaryota; Fungi; Ascomycota; Sordariomycetes; Amphisphaeriales; Sporocadaceae.
GAAAUGCGAUAAGUAGUGUGAAUUGCAGAAUUCCGUGAAUCAUCGAAUCUUUGAACGCACAUUGCGCCCAUUAGUAUUCUAGUGGGCAUGCCUGUUCGAGCGUCAUUUCAACCCUUAAGCCUAGCUUAGUGUUGGGAAUUUACAGUUAUGUAAUUCCUGAAAUACAACGGCGGAUCUGUGGUAUCCUCUGAGCGUAGUAAAUUAUUUCUCGCUUUUGUUAGGUGCUGCAGCUCCCAGCCGCUAAACCCCCAAUUUUUUGUGGUUGACCUCGGAUCAGGUAGGAAUACCCGCUGAACUUAA